RNAcentral lists this ribosomal RNA (1483 nucleotides) under Callogobius sclateri (Pacific goby). RNAcentral's name for it is "partial 16S ribosomal RNA". It matches the Rfam family "Bacterial large subunit ribosomal RNA", at positions 370 to 2574 of the family's 2925-position model. The record is from RNAcentral. Lineage: Eukaryota; Metazoa; Chordata; Actinopteri; Gobiiformes; Gobiidae.
GCCCCAACAGCUAGCCCACCUUCAAAAAUUAUCAACCACUAUUAAUCUACCCACGGAGCAACUAAACAAACCACAGCAAACCAUUUUCCCACCUCAGUAUGGGAGACAGAAAAGGAUCUUCGGCGCAAUAGAAAAAGUACCGCAAGGGAAAGCUGAAAGAGAAGUGAAAAAACCCAGUUUAUAAAGGAAGAAAAAGCAGAGCUUCAACCUCGUACCUUUUGCAUCAUGAUUUAGCUAGUAACCCUCAAGCAAAGCGCCCUUUAUGUUUGAGCCCCCGAAACUAAGCGAGCUACUCCAAGACAGCCUAUUGUAGGGCGAACCCGUCUCUGUGGCAAAAGAGUGGGAAGAGCUUUGAGUAGAGGUGAUAAACCUACCGAGCCUAGUCAUAGCUGGUUGCCUGAGAAAAGAAUAGAAGUUCAACCUUUUGACUCCUUCCGCCCAACAAGGUCCCACCUAGCCCCGACUAGAAUGAGUCAAAAGAGCUAUUCAAGAGAGGGACAGCUCUCUUGAAAAAAGAUACAACUUUAAUAGAAGGCUAAAGAUCAAAACAUCUAAGGUAGCAUACCAAGGUAGGCCUAAAAGCAGCCACCCUAAAAAAAAGCGUUAAAGCUCAAGUAUCUUUACCCCCGUAAUCCCGACAGUAACAUCUUAAACCUCUUAACAUAUCAGGCCCCUCCAUGCAAACAUGGAAAAGACACUGCUAGUAUGAGUAAUAAGAGAGCCUAGCCUCUCUCAAAGCAUCCGUGUACUCCAGAACGAACCCUCACUGAAAAUUAACGUUCCCACAAACAGAGGGCAUUGAACAAAACUAACCAAAACUAGAAACUCCCCCAACCAUCUGACGUUAACCCCACACAGGAAUGCUGCAUGAAAGACAGAAGGAAAAAGAAGGAACUCGGCAAACAUUGGCCUCGCCUGUUUACCAAAAACAUCGCCUCUUGCGUACACAAUAUAAGAGGUCCCGCCUGCCCUGUGACUUUCGAGUUUAACGGCCGCGGUAUUUUGACCGUGCAAAGGUAGCGUAAUCACUUGUUUUUUAAAUAGAGACCUGUAUGAAUGGCAUAACGAGGGCCAAACUGUCUCCUUUCUCCAGUCAAUGAAAUUGAUCUCUCCGUGCAGAAGCGGACAUUUAAACAUAAGACGAGAAGACCCUAUGGAGCUUCAGACACAAGGACAGACCAUGUUAAAACCCCUAAACAACCAGGAUCAAACCAAAUGGCCCCUGCCCCUAUGUCUUUGGUUGGGGCGACCGCGGGGUAACAACGACCCCCCACGUGGAAUGGAACACUCUUCCCAACGCCAGAGCCACAGCUCUAACGAACAGAAAAUCUGACCAACAAGACCCGGCCAUGUGCCGAUCAACGAACCCAGUUACCCUAGGGAUAACAGCGCAAUCCCCUUCUAGAGCCCAUAUCGACAAGGGGGUUUACGACCUCGAUGUUGGAUCAGGACUUCCUAAUGGUGCAGCCGCUAUUAAGGGUUC